GUCAGGGGCUAGAUGUCAGGGACCAGAGAUCAGAGGCUAGAUGUCAGGGACUAGAGGUCAGGGGCUAGAGGUCAAGGGACUAGAUGUCAGGGGCUAGAGGGCUAGAGGUCAGGGGCUAGAGGUCAGGGGCUAGAGGUCAAGGACUAGAGGUCAGGGGCUAGAGGUCAGGGACUAGAGGUCAGGGGCUAGAGGUCAGGGGCUAGAGGUCAGGGACUAGAGGUCAGGGGCUAGAGGUCAGGGGCUAGAGGUCAGGGACUAGAGGUCAGGGACUAGAGGUCAGGGGUUGAAGGUGCUGAAUUCCUCUCCCUGUACUCCAGACAGAUACCAUCAUUCUAAACAACUAUAAAUCACUAGUCAUCAAUUAUUUACCAGGAAUCAAUACAGCUAUCAGUUCCCCCUCCUUUAUGUCUGUCAACAACUGUGUGACUAUCAUUUACAACAACACCCACACAUUAAUAUAUAUCUAUAUGAUUACAACAACACCCACACAUAAAUAUAUAUCUAUAUGAUUACAGCAACACCCACACAUAAAUAUAUAUCUAUAUGAUUACAGCAACACCCACACAUAAAUAUAUAUCUAUAUGAUUACAACACCCACACAUAAAUAUAUAUCUAUAUGAUUACAGCAACACCCACACAUAAAUAUAUAUCUAUAUGAUUACAACAACACCCACAGAUAAAUAUAUAUCUAUAUGAUUACAGCAACACCCACACAUAAAUAUAUAUAUGAUUACAACAACACCCACACAUAAAUAUAUAUCUAUAUGAUUACAGCAACACCCACACAUAAAUAUACAUCUAUAUGAUUACAACAACACCCACACAUAAAUAUAUAUCUAUAUGAUUACAGCAACACCCACACAUUAAUAUACAUCUAUAUGUUUACAGCAACACCCACACAUAAAUAUAUAUCUAUAUGAUUACAGCAACACCCACAGAUAAAUAUAUAUCUGCAAUAUGACCAGACAGCAGUAUAAAAGUGGGAUAAUAGAACAGAAGAGACUUGACUGUUCAACAUACAAAAUCCUCAAAUUCAUUACUUGAGACCAGAUGGCACCAAAUGAUGCCAUUUGGCACUUUCCCCUAGGUACAGAUCUAGGAUCAGUUUCCCCUAGGUAUAUAUCUAGGAUCAGUUUCCCCUAAGUACAGAUCUAGGAUCAGUUUCCCCUAGGUAUAUAUCUAGGAUCCGUUUCCCCUAGGUACAUAUAUAGGAUCAGUUUCCUCCAGGUACAGGAUCAGUUUCCCCUAGGUACAUAUAUAGGAUCAGUUUCCUCUAGGUACAUACCUAGGAUCAGUUUCCUCCAGGUACAGAUCUAGGAUCAGUUUCCCCU
This 1331-nucleotide long non-coding RNA is filed under the name Salmo salar (Atlantic salmon). RNAcentral describes it as "lncRNA (ENSSSAG00000100873.1, ENSSSAG00000115042.1)". Lineage: Eukaryota; Metazoa; Chordata; Actinopteri; Salmoniformes; Salmonidae. The record is from RNAcentral.